GGCAAGAUGGGUGUGAAACGUGUUAGGCCCCUGACGAGACCUACGCCUGCUACUGAUUCCUCAUUCUGAUGGUGACAUGGAUAUGGGAACUAUCAGGGCACAUAGAGCGCUUAGAUGCACUUGAAAAAGAAAAGCAAAAAGGCAUUUCCAACAAGGAUGGAAGUGGUCCCUCUGGGGUCCCAGCCAGGCUUGGGCCUGCUACAAGGGGCGCUAAAAAAGCUAAACUCUUACACUCCUUAUCCGCCAGGCUGGAUGCGUUGGAGGCCAAGGAUCAACAACCAGCUUCAGUGACGAUGGCCUUGCCUGUGGACAACGCUGUGGCAGCAUUUGCUGUGGAAUCAGUGGGGGGUGCCAUGGCAGCUAUGGAAGGGCCUGGAUCCGCCCUCUAGGUGUCCUGCACACAGUCAUAGUAGUCUGGAAGUGUGUAAGAGAAGCAGUCGGGACAAGGAGACAGAUCUCCUUCCGUCCAUUUCACUACAGCUGGAGGAGCAAGAAAGGUCAGAAUGAAGGGACUCAUCACCAGUACUGCAUGUACUCCUCAGUUUCUCAUUCUUGAAGACAUCUUGGACUGUGUUUGGACACUUACAUACACUGGUUUUUCAUUUUUCCAUUGUAUUUAAUUAUUCUACCUGUUAUUUUGUUAUUGUAUUUUUACAUGUAUUUUCAUAUGUGUUAUAUAGUUGUGUUUGAUUAUUUUGAUGUGUGUUGAGAGCUGGAUGCUUAUACAUUUAUCAUUAUUUACCUUUUUUGUUCAUGGAAAUGA
Long non-coding RNA from Hemicordylus capensis (graceful crag lizard), 763 nucleotides. RefSeq lists it as uncharacterized. NCBI's taxonomy places the organism in Eukaryota, Metazoa, Chordata, Lepidosauria, Squamata, Cordylidae. The record is from RefSeq and is a predicted model, not a curated record. The transcript has 3 exons.